Molecule: ribosomal RNA, 497 nt
Filed under: uncultured bacterium
Lineage: Bacteria
Description: partial 16S ribosomal RNA
Rfam family: Bacterial small subunit ribosomal RNA
Source: RNAcentral
GAUGAACGCUGGCGGCGUGCCUAAUACAUGCAAGUCGAGCGAACAGAUGAGGAGCUUGCUCCUCUGACGUUCACGGCGGACGGGUGAGUAACACGUGGAUACCCUACCUAUGAGACUGGGAUAACUUCGGGAAACCGGAGCUAAUACCGUAUAAUAUAUUGAACCGCAUGGUUCAAUAGUGAAAGACGGUUUUGCUGUCACUUAUAGAUGUAGCCGCGCCGCAUUAGCUAGUUGGUAAGGUAACGGCUUACCAAGGCAACGAUGCGUAGCAGACCUGAGAGGGUGAUCGGCCACACUGGAACUGAGACACGGCCCAGACUCCUACGGGAGGCAGCAGUAGGGAAUCUUCCGCAAUGGGCGAAAGCCUGACGGAGCAACGCCGCGUGAGUGAUGAAGGUCUUCGGAUCGUAAAACCCUGUUAUUAGGGAAGAACAAAUUUGUAAGUAACUAUGCACGUCUUGACGGUACCUAAUCAGAAAGCCACGGCUAACUACGUG